AUGGCCUUCAGUGCCCCCAUACGCCCAGCCCCAAGGUGUCAGUCUUGGAUCAACCUGCCACCUGGAGAAAGCUUCCAAAUUCACCAAAUGUCCAAAGGAAAGGUGUGCUGUCUGGAGGAGAAGCCCAGGGACUGGGGCAAGCUGGCCCGAGCCUUGGGGAACUAUGCCACCGUCAUCUCCCACAACCCGGAGACCAAGAAGACCCGCGUGAAGCUGCCCUUGGGCUCAAAGAAGGUCAUUUCUUCAGCCAACAGAGCUGUGGUCAGUGUGGUGGCCGGAGGUGGCCGCAUCGACAAGCCCAUUCUGAAGGCUGGCUGUGCCUACCACAAGUACAAGGCAAAGAGGAAUUGCUGGCCACGUGUGCGGGGAGUGGCCUUGAACCCUGUGGAGCAUCCUUUUGGAGGUGGCAACCACCAGCACAUUGGCAAACCCUCCACUCUCCGCAGAGAUGCCCCUGCUGGCCACAAAGUGGGUCUUAUUGCUGCCCGCCGGACUGGGCGUCUCUGGGGAACCAAGACUGUGCAGGAUAAGGAGAACUAGGGUUGAGGGGCUCAAUAAAGUGUGUCCUUCUGCCAC
Molecule: RNA transcript, 576 nt
Organism: Enhydra lutris kenyoni (northern sea otter)
Lineage: Eukaryota; Metazoa; Chordata; Mammalia; Carnivora; Mustelidae
Gene name: 60S ribosomal protein L8 pseudogene
Exons: 2
Source: RefSeq, a predicted model, not a curated record